CUGAUUGAUAGCUGUCUUGAGUCAGUCAGGAUCCAGGCUUUCCACGUCAACACGACCGGUGGUAACCUCCCUCUCCAGCUGUCUGGUUGAGAACCCUGGAUCUUGUUCUGGUUUGGGUAUUUGAUCACAUCUCUAGCAUUGGCUCGUGACUUGUUCCACAUCGAGAGUCAAACAAAAAAGUCAAAAAGCAUAGAAGCCGUGUCAAAGACGAAGACCAGG
RNAcentral lists this long non-coding RNA (219 nucleotides) under Musa acuminata (dwarf banana). Its description in RNAcentral is "long non-coding RNA (MACU_LNC003006)". Lineage: Eukaryota; Viridiplantae; Streptophyta; Magnoliopsida; Zingiberales; Musaceae. The record is from RNAcentral.